Molecule: microRNA, 24 nt
Filed under: Daphnia pulex (common water flea)
Lineage: Eukaryota; Metazoa; Arthropoda; Branchiopoda; Diplostraca; Daphniidae
Also listed under: 1 other name
Description: Dpu-Mir-3_3p (mature (guide))
Source: RNAcentral
UCACUGGGUAAAGUUUGUCCGUUG